This 746-nucleotide ribosomal RNA is filed under the name uncultured bacterium. Its description in RNAcentral is "bacterial SSU rRNA". It matches the Rfam family "Bacterial small subunit ribosomal RNA", at positions 59 to 801 of the family's 1533-position model. The record is from RNAcentral.
CAGUCGAACGAAGCACUUUACUUGAUUUCCUUCGGGGAUGAUUGUUCUGUGACCGAUUGGCGGACGGGUGAGUAACGCGUGGAUAACCUGCCUCACACAGGGGGAUAACAGUUGGAAACGACUGCUAAUACCGCAUAAGCGCACAGCACCGCAUGGUGCAGUGUGAAAAACUCCGGUGGUGUGAGAUGGAUCCGCGUCUGAUUAGCUAGUUGGCGGGGUAACGGCCCACCAAAGCGACGAUCAGUAGCCGACCUGAGAGGGUGACCGGCCACAUUGGGACUGAGACACGGCCCAAACUCCUACGGGAGGCAGCAGUGGGGAAUAUUGCACAAUGGGGGAAACCCUGAUGCAGCGACGCCGCGUGAGCGAAGAAGUAUUUCGGUAUGCAAAGCUCUAUCAGCAGGGAAGAAGAAAUGACGGUACCUGACUAAGAAGCACCGGCUAAAUACGUGCCAGCAGCCGCGGUAAUACGUAUGGUGCAAGCGUUAUCCGGAUUUACUGGGUGUAAAGGGAGCGCAGGCGGUACGGCAAGUCUGAUGUGAAAGCCCGGGGCUCAACCCCGGUACUGCAUUGGAAACUGUCGGACUAGAGUGUCGGAGGGGUAAGUGGAAUUCCUAGUGUAGCGGUGAAAUGCGUAGAUAUUAGGAGGAACACCAGUGGCGAAGGCGGCUUACUGGACGAUUACUGACGCUGAGGCUCGAAAGCGUGGGGAGCAAACAGGAUUAGAUACCCUGGUAGUCCACGCC